GGGGGCUCUCACAAAAAGACAAAGAAGAGAUCUUAUUAGUAAGAAAAAGUUGAACGGGAGAGGGAGAGUGGGCAAGGAAACAUUGGAAAUCUUUUUCUCUCUUCAACACAAAAACACAGAGCAUCACCCUAUUCUUGGUUUAUCAUCACCAACCAACACAAAACCCAUCCGUUACCGACAUCCCCACCCCCAUGUGAAGCUUUCCGACGGAUUCAUUUCCAAAACCGUCACCCACCGAACAAUAAGACCAUUCGAACCACCGCCACACACCACUUUUCAACUCCGGUGAAAACGACUCUGCGGUAACACAACGACAACAACAAUAGCUCAGCGGCUUGCAUCACCCACAAAUUUUUUUCGUUUCAACUUCGAAUCAAUAUUCGACGCCAUCAUUCUCUAAUUCAAGAGGAGAUUCGAAUUCGUGGUAAUGAGCGAGUUGAUUUCCAUUUCGUGAAUGCUUUUUUUUGUUUGUUUGUUGUUUGUUUUAUUUUUUUAUUUCGGUUGCAUAUUUCUCUCGAUCCCUUUAGUUUGGUGCUGUUGGGGUUUGAAACGUUCAUAUCGAUUUUGUUUGUUUUCAUUUUGAUUAUUAUGCUAGUGUUGGUGGAAACUUUGCAAUAUUUUUGUUUGUGUUAACGUACUGUUCAUACCGUGCCGGUUUCUAAAUGUUGAGUUGAUAAGCAGUGGAUGUAAUAAUUUUCUAAGCUCCAUGUUUUAUUUUCACCUGCUUUGAACUCCUUUAUGUUUGGUUAUAUAUGAGACGUAGGACUAGAGGAUAGGUAGCUUUUGUUUCAAUAAAAGUAUCAAACUGUUAAUCUUGGUAUUAUAGUAUUAGUUUGUGCAUAUAUAUUAUGAAUAAUUUAGAUAAUUGCUUUUCCUUGUUGUGUUGUGUGUGCUUCGUCCGUGUUGGCUAUUCGUGGAGGACACUGUGGCGACAAAAGAAAGAAAAUGAUAUUUGUGUUUAUUUAGUUUUGGAUUUCCUUUGUUCUUGGCGGUUACUUUAAUUCCCUUGUCUUUAUGAAAGUUGAAAAAAGUUCAAAUAGAUUUUUGUUAAUUUUCAUUUAUUUCACAUUUCAUUUAGAUUAAGGAUGAUUAAGAUUGCUAUUUGGGCUUGGUUUCACAUCUUAUUUUAGGCCCAUUAUUUUUUAGCCUUUGCACCUCCCAUAUUUAGUAAAUAAUCUUCAUGUUUUUGUAAAUAAAUUUGUACUGCUACUAUUUGAUUCAAUUGCAUUUUAAUCAAGACUUCAAUCCGUGGAUUCGGCAAUUCCAUGCCGUUAUGCCGCCCAAAUUUUAAUACAUCAAUAGAAUACUUUCACCACG
RNAcentral lists this long non-coding RNA (1317 nucleotides) under Lathyrus oleraceus (garden pea). RNAcentral's name for it is "Pisum sativum (pea) long non-coding RNA (PSAT_LNC023854)". The record is from RNAcentral. Lineage: Eukaryota; Viridiplantae; Streptophyta; Magnoliopsida; Fabales; Fabaceae.